GAGCCAGGUUGGUUUCUAUCUUAAAAAAAGAAUAAUAUUUUAGUACGAAAGGAUCAAAUAUUUAUAAAAUUUAUUUUUAUUGAAUAAAUUUAAUU
RNAcentral lists this ribosomal RNA (95 nucleotides) under Quedius mesomelinus. RNAcentral's name for it is "partial 16S large subunit ribosomal RNA". The record is from RNAcentral. Lineage: Eukaryota; Metazoa; Arthropoda; Insecta; Coleoptera; Staphylinidae.